Molecule: ribosomal RNA, 253 nt
Filed under: uncultured bacterium
Lineage: Bacteria
Description: partial 16S ribosomal RNA
Rfam family: Bacterial small subunit ribosomal RNA
Source: RNAcentral
UACGUAGGGCGCAAGCGUUAUCCGGAAUUAUUGGGCGUAAAGAGCUCGUAGGCGGUUUGUCGCGUCUGCCGUGAAAACUCGGGGCUUAACUCCGGGCCUGCAGUGGGUACGGGCAGACUAGAGUGCGGUAGGGGAGACUGGAAUUCCUGGCGUAGCGGUGAAAUGCGCAGAUAUCAGGAGGAACACCGGUGGCGAAGGCGGGUCUCUGGGCCGUAACUGACGCUGAGGAGCGAAAGCGUGGGGAGCGAACAGG